RNAcentral lists this long non-coding RNA (275 nucleotides) under Lathyrus oleraceus (garden pea). Its description in RNAcentral is "Pisum sativum (pea) long non-coding RNA (PSAT_LNC026073)". The record is from RNAcentral. Lineage: Eukaryota; Viridiplantae; Streptophyta; Magnoliopsida; Fabales; Fabaceae.
UCAUGUCCAUUAUCUAUGCCAUUUCGUUCAAAUCAUUUCAUUUUUAACAAGCCAGUUCAUUUAAUUUUUAUUACUAACUUUUUGAUCCAAAUGAACCUAAGCUUGUGUUUAUUCCUCAUUUCAAUUUACAAUCCAUAACAUAGACCCCAUAACCAUUAAUCCAUUACCAUUCAAAUUCAAUACACAUUCAAACCAUUUCCAUAAAUAACAUAUCCAAUGGCAUUCAAACUUUCAUUAAUAACUAGCUUUACGUUUAACAUAGAUCCAAACAAGAA